RNAcentral lists this ribosomal RNA (468 nucleotides) under uncultured bacterium. Its description in RNAcentral is "partial 16S ribosomal RNA". The stretch from base 20 to 329 matches the Rfam family "Bacterial small subunit ribosomal RNA", at positions 47 to 358 of the family's 1533-position model. The record is from RNAcentral.
GACGAACGCUGGCGGCGUGCUUAACACAUGCAAGUCGAACGGAAAGGCCCUGCUUUUGUGGGGUGCUCGAGUGGCGAACGGGUGAGUAACACGUGAGUAACCUGCCCUUGACUUUGGGAUAACUUCAGGAAACUGGGGCUAAUACCGGAUAGGAGCUCCUGCUGCAUGGUGGGGGUUGGAAAGUUUCGGCGGUUGGGGAUGGACUCGCGGCUUAUCAGCUUGUUGGUGGGGUAGUGGCUUACCAAGGCUUUGACGGGUAGCCGGCCUGAGAGGGUGACCGGACAGAGGGGGGAAGAAACCGGGCCAGAACGCAAAGGGGGGACAGAGGGGGGGAUGUGGGAAAAAGGGGGGAAAGCGGGAGGCAGAAACCCCGGGGGAGGGAGGAGGGCUUGGGGGUGGAAAACCGUUUGCGCCGGGAAGGAAGGGGGAGGGAAGGGAAUGGAUAAAGAGACACAGGAAAAAAAGGUC